CCUACGGGAGGCAGCAGUGGGGAAUAUUGGACAAUGGGCGAAAGCCUGAUCCAGCCAUGCCGCGUGUGUGAAGAAGGUCUUCGGAUUGUAAAGCACUUUAAGUUGGGAGGAAGGGUUGUAGAUUAAUACUCUGCAAUUUUGACGUUACCGACAGAAUAAGCACCGGCUAACUCUGUGCCAGCAGCCGCGGUAAU
RNAcentral lists this ribosomal RNA (194 nucleotides) under Pseudomonas sp. DH-4. Its description in RNAcentral is "partial 16S ribosomal RNA". It matches the Rfam family "Bacterial small subunit ribosomal RNA", at positions 338 to 524 of the family's 1533-position model. RNAcentral also lists the same sequence under 4 other names. Lineage: Bacteria; Pseudomonadati; Pseudomonadota; Gammaproteobacteria; Pseudomonadales; Pseudomonadaceae. The record is from RNAcentral.